This 265-nucleotide ribosomal RNA is filed under the name uncultured bacterium. RNAcentral's name for it is "partial 16S ribosomal RNA". It matches the Rfam family "Bacterial small subunit ribosomal RNA", at positions 335 to 593 of the family's 1533-position model. The record is from RNAcentral.
UGCCUACGGGGCGCAGCAGUAGGGAAUCUUCCACAAUGGACGAAAGUCUGAUGGAGCAACGCCGCGUGAGUGAAGAAGGGUUUCGGCUCGUAAAGCUCUGUUGGGAGUGAAGAAAGAUAGAGGUAGUAACUGGCCUUUAUUUGACGGUAAUUACUUAGAAAGUCACGGCUAACUACGUGCCAGCAGCCGCGGUAAUACGUAGGUGGCAAGCGUUGUCCGGAUUUAUUGGGCGUAAAGAGAACGCAGGCGGUCUUUUAAGUCUGAU